Molecule: non-coding RNA, 372 nt
Organism: Aegilops tauschii subsp. strangulata
Lineage: Eukaryota; Viridiplantae; Streptophyta; Magnoliopsida; Poales; Poaceae
Source: RefSeq, a predicted model, not a curated record
UCCCCUCCCCCCUCUCCGCGCUCUGCUCUCGCCGCUAGAUUUUGGUUCUGAUGCGUGUGAUGGUCCCUUUGAUUCUCGGGGAUUUCGGUUUAUGGCUUGUCAGGGUUGUGGAUGAAGCCGGGACCGCUCAGUUACGUCUUGCUUUACUGCUUGUUUGCUAGAGGCAGAGCUUUGCACGGGCGAGAAUUGAAACGUCCAUGGGAAUUGAGAAAGCCUAAUUUUGUUACGAGGGAAUGUGGUCUCCAUGCAUUUGGAUGUGUCGUAUCUACUGAUAAAUGCUUAAAUGUGCAUCUGGAGGUUAAUCUGGUUUGUAAAUUCUACACAGUUGUGAUUCAGUUGCUGCUAUGCUAAUAUAUGAUGCACGUGCGCUUA